UCUGGUGGAGUGAACUAUGUCUCAUUUGCCAGGGACUUUCCUGGAUUAGCACGGGAAGUCCGGGAUUCCGAGACACCCUGGCAAAAUGUGCCCCUCCUGUGCGUGUUAACCGGAAGGCAAAGGAGCCUGGCCACCCCCUCAAGGGGAUGCCCCACAGACCCACAGAUGGCUAAGUCUGGACCUCCAACCAGAACACCCUCCUGGAUGCCCAGGCAGAAACUCGGGGGAUGUCACAGAAGUGACAAGCCUUGGCUUCUUGGAAGUGUCCUAGGGCCAGAGCAAGGAGGGACCCUGGAGAGAUGUGCCGGGUGGAAGCCCGUGAGAAGCCAGCCGCGUGGAAGAGUGCUGUCCAGACAAGAGUCCCCACACUGAGCCUGAGGGUCAGGUGGCGGCAGCAGCCUGUGACAUACGUUGUGCUGGGAAACUGUCACGUGCUGUUUGAGCUCUCUGAGAUUGCACCCUGCCCCCUUUUCAGACCCAAGCCCGUUUGUCUUAGCCUGUCCGAAAGGCCCCCUGUCUAGCUAGGGAUUGGCUGCCACCCCAACUCUGUAACAGGGAGGAAGGAGAAUAGCAAAAGAGGCCAAGAGUAAAGACACUGUGUCCUCAUUCUUAACAGCAGCUGGGGGGGGGUGUGUCUAAAGAGCAUUGGCUGCUCUUGCAGAGGACCUGUAUUCAAUUCCCAGUACCCUUGUGAUACUCAUAACUCCUGUUUCAGGGGCUUGAUCUCUUCCUGGCCUCUGCAGGCAUCAAGCAUGCACACGCAUAUAGUCAUGCAGGCAAAGCAUCGUGCAUAUAAAAUAAAAAUAAUAAAUAAAUCUUAAAAACAGUUAAAAGGUAAACCAUUCCCAAGAGAUACCACUGAUGUUUACUCCCUUACUAUAAAAGCGUCCGCAGUGGGAAAGAGAAGCAAGAAGUUUAGCUAUGAGAAAUGCAGCUGUGGAGAGAAAACUCCAGCUAGCUACUGCCUCAACUUCCCCAGUGAGUUUCUGCUGUGUGCCUUGGGCAAGAAGCAUGCCCAAUCUUUGCUAGAUUCUGGCUUGUGUUUAAAUCCCACUUGGACUUUUUGCUGCCCUGUCAGCAGGGGGCACCAUUCCUUCAGUCCUCCUCUAAGAUAAAGGUAAGACUAGCCUCCUCCUCCAUGGGGCUGUGGGACUCCCUCCAGGCAAGCAGAGCGUGGCUAGGCACUUGGUGGAUGUUUGGGCGGCAUGGUCACCACUUAGGUCCUUCACCUCCCAGGGAAGCCCACGUUUUCAGCACAAAAGCCCAGGCCACAGCCUCCCCAGCAGUGGGCUCAGUCACAGGUCCUGACCUCUAAAGAAAGGCAUGGUGGUGAAGGCAGAGACACAUAGUCAGCAGCCAGAGGGGCAGCCAGAGCAGAGUUCAUGGCCUGCAGAUCCUCAGGGAGUGACACGAACUGGGCCUUGGGUCCUAUGUGUGUUCCCGCCUACCAUUGUCUGCGCUCAGGCCCUGUAGAGUCAUCAGAUAGGUUGUUAAUGAUCACAGAAGGGGACUGAUCUGGUUUCUGAAGAAAAUCUGUUCUAGGAUUAAGCCUUCCAACCAUGGGUAAGGCUCAUUUCGUGGGUGGUCUGUCCUGCUUGGGUGUGGCUGCAGUCUCUUGUCACAAAGACCUUUGACACCGGGCUCCAAGGUGACCCAAAGGGACAACUGAAGUAAGAUAGAAAGUCAGGUAGAGAGCAUGGGAAGAGAUUCCUCACUCCGGAAACUGAACUCUCUCACCAUCUGUGAGGGAAGAAUUCCAUCGUAGUUAGCAGCACAGGCUAAGAUGUUGUCUACACACAGCAUUGGCUUCACAGUGGUCCCAGACAAGAACAUGAAAAUGCUAGUGAGCAUGCUCACGGAAUGAGUGUCUGUCUGUGGCCUUUCUCUUCUCCAUCUGUAAGCCUGCAAUUCUUACAAACAGGGUUGCAACUUCAGCCAUAGCAAAAGUGUGUCUUAGCUUAUGUGUGCAACCCUUGUGACCCUCGGUUUUACCUAAUCUCCUGCAGUCCCACUCAGUGUGCCCCAGGGAGCAUCUGCAGUCCCACUCAGUGUGCCCCAGGGAGCAUCUGCAGUCCCACUCAGUGUGCCCCAGGGACCAUCUGCAGUCCCACUCAGUGUGCCCCAGGGACCAUCUGCAGUCACACUCAGUGUGUCCCAGGGACCAUCUGCAGUCACACUCAGUGUGUCUCAGGGACCAUCUGCAGUCACACUCAGUGUGUCUCAGGGACCAUUCUCUGAUCUCAUUUACUGGGAGAAGAAAGGGAGGAAAGGAAGAAGGAAGAGAAAGAAGGAAAAAGACUAACAAUGUAGCUCAGCUGACAGGGAACUUACCCAGAAUGCUGGAGGCCCUCAGCUGGAUCCCCAGCGCCACAUAAAACCAGUCACGGUGACCCACACCUGCAAUCACAACGUUAGAGGGGAAGAGCCAGAAGUAUCAAAGUUUGCUGUCAUCUUCAGCUAUAAAUUGAGUUAUUGGCCAGCCUGGGCUACAUGCAACCCUGUCUAUAAGUUAAUAAAUAGUGAGAGAAGGAGAGAGUUCUUUAGCAACCCUUUGAGACAUGACCAAUGUCAUCGCAUCAGUGGCGAUGGAGCGGAGACGCAUCACUAACCCCACAGUGUCAGGCAGUUCUUCUCAGAGACCUCUCCUGGGGUGGGAGUGGGGGGAUUCCUGACUGCAUUGUGGAGACUCUCAGGAUGAGCCCAUAGGAGACACAGCUAGAAUGUCUUAGGGGAGAUUUUAACAGAGAGAGAGGCACGUGGAGAUGCCAGCGUAAGACUGGUGUAAGUGCAGACCUCUCAGGAGAGUCACACCUAAGCGUGUGCGUCUUCUGCUGUCCAAGUGCAGGGCACACACAGAAUGCAGUCCCAGUGUCGGGCUCUCAGCCCACUCUGCACAUGGACAAGUGAGGAGCCAGUGGUCCUUGGCAGCUUCCAAGCAGCGGGUGUGUCCCGGCAGAAGACGUGUGCUCCCUAUGGCUGUCACGACGUCACUUGCAACGCAGUGACUUAGAGCAGCUGGGUUUACUCUCUUGCAGCUCAGAGGCUGUUGGCAUGGCUGCAUUCCUUCAGGAUCCACCUCCUUCUUCACCAGGCUUCCAUAGACCAUUGCUUCCCUUCCUCUCUCACCCCCCCUCCCCCUCCCCAUGACCCGGUCUACUCUGCUGGCCAUAUUCAGCCUGGACCCUUCCAGAUGCUUCUGGCUGUUUUCUUCCUCACAUCGACAAUAAAAACCUCCUCAACCAUC
Mesocricetus auratus (golden hamster) is the source of this 3244-nucleotide long non-coding RNA. RefSeq lists it as uncharacterized. The transcript has 3 exons. The record is from RefSeq and is a predicted model, not a curated record. Lineage: Eukaryota; Metazoa; Chordata; Mammalia; Rodentia; Cricetidae.